AGAAGAUUCACAAGAAAACCCUCUCCUCAAGCUGUGCUUGUGAGAGAGGCAGUGACAUUUCUAAGUAUUUCCGUGGUAAUUGCUGUCUUUCUGUCAGAGCAGACAGUAGAGAAGCCAUCACGAAAAAUAAUAUCACAUGGAAAACGUCGCAACUUUUAAGAUACAAAGAUGUUACUGGAGAAACUUAUUGAAAACUCAGAAAGCAAUAUCAGAAUGGAGUUGAAGUGACCUCUUUAUCCAGGUCAGUCAACAAUGGAAGAGCUGGCACAGAAACGGGUGAUGCCUGUGUCUAGAAGGGAGUUAAGUCAUCAGUGAAGCCACUAUGACAGAAAAGAGGCCAUUGUGUGAAAUUGAUGGAAUUCAAGGACACAGACACUCGCACAUUGAGCAGGGAACUGGAUGCGAAAGUACUGCCCUCUUUACUGAAUUCUGACGAGGCCUCUCUCUUGCCUCUCCUCCUGUCUGCCAGCCUGCUCUCUGCUUCCCCUUUUGUAAUUAGUGCUCAGUAAUUGGGGACUCCUAUAAAGUUGUAAACCUGGUUUGUGCUGAAAGGUAAGCUGUGAACACUGCAGUCCUUCUGGCACAAUCUCACCAUUCCUCAGCUGUCUUCCUCUGGUCCAGGGUCAGUGGUGCUUCUCCACUGUACGUCUCAUGUUGCUGUGAUGAUACCACUUCUAAGUUUUUGGACUAGUCAUUUUCACCUGAUGAUGACCCCUCCCCACCAGCAUUCAGUCCCCUUCUGUGGUCUCUGACUUGGAAUGUGUCUACCCUUGUUUCUUACCCACUACUUACCACCCGGGUUCUCUGCCUUUUAGACUAUCCUUGGGGCAUAAUUCUUUGCCAGGCAAA
Molecule: long non-coding RNA, 849 nt
Organism: Callithrix jacchus (white-tufted-ear marmoset)
Lineage: Eukaryota; Metazoa; Chordata; Mammalia; Primates; Cebidae
Source: RefSeq, a predicted model, not a curated record